AGUCUACACACCAAACCCGCCGACCCGCCGACUCAGCCCGGCGGCUUGGUGUCGGCGACUUUGCUUCAAGAAUCAUGUCGGCGACUCGUACCCGCGCGUGCAAGUCGGCGGCAUGGCCGGCGACUUGCGUACGCGCACGCUCAGUUGCCCGCCGACACUCCAGCGAUAGUGACUUGCUUGUGUUUUUUUUUGCGAUUUUCUGCAAUAAUGGAAUGGGACGAAGAAACCACUCUAAAGUUAAUAAAUUUGUAUCAUAUAAAGGAAUUAUUAUGGAAUCCAAAACACUUGGAUCACAAAUGUAGACCUAAACGUUUUGAUGCACUAAAUGAGAUGGCAAACGAAUUAAAUACAAAUGUCACAGAAAUAGAACGGAAGAUAAAAAAUUUGACGAGCCAAUAUUAUAGAGAAAGAAAAAAAACGAUUGAAUCAAAAAAGUCUGGAACCAGCGCAGAUUUUGUUCAUGAGAGCAAGUGGUUUGCCUUUAAAUCUUUGAAUUUCUUGCUCAAUAAAAAUAAACCUACUGGAACAAUCGAUACGGAGAUAACAGCAACUGACAAUAAUGCCCAACAUGCGGACAAUGAUGCUCAACAUGGGGAAAACGAUUCACCUCAAACGUCAAACAUCAUUCCCCAAGCGAAUAAACGUUAUAAACCUAAUCCAAGUAAUGAGAUGGUGUCGGAAGCAUUAAAUUUAAUGAGAACAGUCAGUCAACGGACAAAUCAAAAAAUAAAAGAUGAGGACGAUUUGUUUGGCGAAUAUAUUGCGACACAACUUAGAAAAUUUGAUAAAACAACAAAGGCAAUAAUAAAACAUCGGAUUAACAAUAUCUUUUUUGAAACCGAAACUGGAUAUCGUUCAGACAUGUUCGAAGCUUCGCCAAGACCUUCUACUUCUCAUAGUCAUCCAGGAUAUUAUACAAUGGAUCAAUGUGAUGUAAAUUCCUACUACUCAUCAUCCAACUCUGCCGUAACAAACCCUGUUUCACCGCCUCUUGGUGAACCUUCAACAUCUUCAAUUGAACCUUCGUUACGUGUGUCGAUUCAAGAGAGUGGUGAUAUUGAGAACAUAUUAUCAUCUAUUGAGUCAGAUAAAUAGGUUUAUUCCACAAAUCCCCACCGUAUGCACUCUGAGAAUAACCCUAUCACCUGAUGCGAGAUAACGUUAUGUAGGCACAAGUAUUUCGUCUUAAUGUUGUUGAAUCGUCAUAGUAUACUCAAAAUGCAUAAAAACAUCAGUGGGGAUUUCGCGGUGGGGAUUUAUAGAAUAACUCGGUAAAUAAAACCACUUAUAAAUGAACAAAAACAAGUGAUUUACGAAGUUUUUAAUACAAAUUAUAAUAAAAAUACAAGUACUAAUACAAGUAUGAGUUUCAUUAAAACGUACGAGUUAGUCAUUGAUCAUUCUGCCAUGGUAAUCUCCCGACAUCGGAAAGAAAAUAUUGAACCAAUUCUGUCCUUAUAACCUCAGGAGAUUGUGUCCUUGUAACCUCAAGGGAAUGUGUAUUGUCUUGUCUAGGCAAGUCAGCAAACAAAUUAUUUUCACGUGGUUCCCUGCGCCAAUCUCCUGGAUUGAUUUCUCCCCUACUAUUUUCAGUAUCAUAUUCAUUUUGUUGUAUUAUACCAUGUCGUUUUACAUAAUUGAACAAAUGAAUACAUGCCAAUGUUACAAUAGUAACUUUUUGUGGAUUUAGCUGGAUGGGUUUGUUAAAUAUCUUAAAUUGUUUUGUUAACUGUCCAAAUACGUUUUCAACUACUCUUCGACCUCGACACAUGCGAUAGUUGUACACUCUCUUGGGAGACCCUUUCGCAUGAUUACCAUCAUAAGGUUUUAAAAUAUUGGUUUGUAAAGGAAACGCAU
Pectinophora gossypiella (pink bollworm) is the source of this 1857-nucleotide long non-coding RNA. RefSeq lists it as uncharacterized. NCBI's taxonomy places the organism in Eukaryota, Metazoa, Arthropoda, Insecta, Lepidoptera, Gelechiidae. The record is from RefSeq and is a predicted model, not a curated record. The transcript has 2 exons.